UGGGCUCGUAGUCUAGUGGUUAUGAUACCGCCCUUACAAGGCGGUGGUCACCGGUUCAAAUCCGGUCGGGCCCAU
RNAcentral lists this transfer RNA (75 nucleotides) under Thermoplasmatales archaeon. RNAcentral describes it as "tRNA-Val". It matches the Rfam family "tRNA". Rfam says of the family: Transfer RNA (tRNA) molecules are approximately 80 nucleotides in length. Their secondary structure includes four short double-helical elements and three loops (D, anti-codon, and T loops). Further hydrogen bonds mediate the characteristic L-shaped molecular structure. tRNAs have two regions of fundamental functional importance: the anti-codon, which is responsible for specific mRNA codon recognition, and the 3' end, to which the tRNAs corresponding amino acid is attached (by aminoacyl-tRNA synthetases). tRNAs cope with the degeneracy of the genetic code in two manners: having more than one tRNA (with a specific anti-codon) for a particular amino acid; and 'wobble' base-pairing, i.e. permitting non-standard base-pairing at the 3rd anti-codon position. Lineage: Archaea; Methanobacteriati; Thermoplasmatota; Thermoplasmata; Thermoplasmatales. The record is from RNAcentral.